UUAAGCGACUAAGCGUACACGGUGGAUGCCCUGGCAGUCAGAGGCGAUGAAGGACGUGCUAAUCUGCGAUAAGCGCCGGUAAGGUGAUAUGAACCGUUAUAACCGGCGAUUUCCGAAUGGGGAAACCCAGUGUGACUCGUCACACUAUCAUUAACUGAAUCCAUAGGUUAAUGAGGCGAACCGGGGGAACUGAAACAUCUAAGUACCCCGAGGAAAAGAAAUCAACCGAGAUUCCCCCAGUAGCGGCGAGCGAACGGGGAGGAGCCCAGAGCCUGAAUCAGCAUGUGUGUUAGUGGAAGCGUCUGGAAAGGCGCGCGAUACAGGGUGACAGCCCCGUACACAAAAGCGCAUGUGCUGUGAGCUCGAUGAGUAGGGCGGGACACGUGGUAUCCUGUCUGAAUAUGGGGGGACCAUCCUCCAAGGCUAAAUACUCCUGACUGACCGAUAGUGAACCAGUACCGUGAGGGAAAGGCGAAAAGAACCCCGGCGAGGGGAGUGAAAAAGAACCUGAAACCGUGUACGUACAAGCAGUGGGAGCACCCUUCGGGGUGUGACUGCGUACCUUUUGUAUAAUGGGUCAGCGACUUAUAUUCUGUAGCAAGGUUAACCGAAUAGGGGAGCCGGAGGGAAACCGAGUCUUAAUUGGGCGUUAAGUUGCAGGGUAUAGACCCGAAACCCGGUGAUCUAGCCAUGGGCAGGUUGAAGGUUGGGUAACACUAACUGGAGGACCGAACCGACUAAUGUUGAAAAAUUAGCGGAUGACCUGUGGCUGGGGGUGAAAGGCCAAUCAAACCGGGAGAUAGCUGGUUCUCCCCGAAAGCUAUUUAGGUAGCGCCUCGUGAAUUCAUCUCCGGGGGUAGAGCACUGUUUCGGCUAGGGGGCCAUCCCGGCUUACCAACCCGAUGCAAACUGCGAAUACCGGAGAAUGUUAUCACGGGAGACACACGGCGGGUGCUAACGUCCGUCGUGAAGAGGGAAACAACCCAGACCGCCAGCUAAGGUCCCAAAGUCAUGGUUAAGUGGGAAACGAUGUGGGAAGGCCCAGACAGCCAGGAUGUUGGCUUAGAAGCAGCCAUCAUUUAAAGAAAGCGUAAUAGCUCACUGGUCGAGUCGGCCUGCGCGGAAGAUGUAACGGGGCUAAACCAUGCACCGAAGCUGCGGCAGCGACACUGUGUGUUGUUGGGUAGGGGAGCGUUCUGUAAGCCUGCGAAGGUGGCCUGUGAGGGUUGCUGGAGGUAUCAGAAGUGCGAAUGCUGACAUAAGUAACGAUAAAGCGGGUGAAAAGCCCGCUCGCCGGAAGACCAAGGGUUCCUGUCCAACGUUAAUCGGGGCAGGGUGAGUCGACCCCUAAGGCGAGGCCGAAAGGCGUAGUCGAUGGGAAACGGGUUAAUAUUCCCGUACUUGGUGUUACUGCGAAGGGGGGACGGAGAAGGCUAUGUUGGCCGGGCGACGGUUGUCCCGGUUUAAGCGUGUAGGUGUGUGUUCCAGGUAAAUCCGGUUCACUUUAACACUGAGGCGUGACGACGAGGCACUACGGUGCUGAAGCAACAAAUGCCCUGCUUCCAGGAAAAGCCUCUAAGCAUCAGGUAACAUCAAAUCGUACCCCAAACCGACACAGGUGGUCAGGUAGAGAAUACCAAGGCGCUUGAGAGAACUCGGGUGAAGGAACUAGGCAAAAUGGUGCCGUAACUUCGGGAGAAGGCACGCUGACACGUAGGUGAAGUGAUUUACUCAUGGAGCUGAAGUCAGUCGAAGAUACCAGCUGGCUGCAACUGUUUAUUAAAAACACAGCACUGUGCAAACACGAAAGUGGACGUAUACGGUGUGACGCCUGCCCGGUGCCGGAAGGUUAAUUGAUGGGGUCAGCGCAAGCGAAGCUCCUGAUCGAAGCCCCGGUAAACGGCGGCCGUAACUAUAACGGUCCUAAGGUAGCGAAAUUCCUUGUCGGGUAAGUUCCGACCUGCACGAAUGGCGUAAUGAUGGCCAGGCUGUCUCCACCCGAGACUCAGUGAAAUUGAACUCGCUGUGAAGAUGCAGUGUACCCGCGGCAAGACGGAAAGACCCCGUGAACCUUUACUAUAGCUUGACACUGAACAUUGAGCCUUGAUGUGUAGGAUAGGUGGGAGGCUUUGAAGUGUGGACGCCAGUCUGCAUGGAGCCGACCUUGAAAUACCACCCUUUAAUGUUUGAUGUUCUAACGUGGACCCGUAAUCCGGGUUGCGGACAGUGUCUGGUGGGUAGUUUGACUGGGGCGGUCUCCUCCUAAAGAGUAACGGAGGAGCACGAAGGUUGGCUAAUCCUGGUCGGACAUCAGGAGGUUAGUGCAAUGGCAUAAGCCAGCUUGACUGCGAGCGUGACGGCGCGAGCAGGUGCGAAAGCAGGUCAUAGUGAUCCGGUGGUUCUGAAUGGAAGGGCCAUCGCUCAACGGAUAAAAGGUACUCCGGGGAUAACAGGCUGAUACCGCCCAAGAGUUCAUAUCGACGGCGGUGUUUGGCACCUCGAUGUCGGCUCAUCACAUCCUGGGGCUGAAGUAGGUCCCAAGGGUAUGGCUGUUCGCCAUUUAAAGUGGUACGCGAGCUGGGUUUAGAACGUCGUGAGACAGUUCGGUCCCUAUCUGCCGUGGGCGCUGGAGAACUGAGGGGGGCUGCUCCUAGUACGAGAGGACCGGAGUGGACGCAUCACUGGUGUUCGGGUUGUCAUGCCAAUGGCACUGCCCGGUAGCUAAAUGCGGAAGAGAUAAGUGCUGAAAGCAUCUAAGCACGAAACUUGCCCCGAGAUGAGUUCUCCCUGAGACUUAAAGUCUCCUGAAGGAACGUUGAAGACGACGACGUUGAUAGGCCGGGUGUGUAAGCGCAGCGAUGCGUUGAGCUAACCGGUACUAAUGAACCGUGAGGCUUAACCUU
RNAcentral lists this ribosomal RNA (2903 nucleotides) under Salmonella enterica subsp. enterica serovar Indiana. RNAcentral describes it as "bacterial LSU rRNA". It matches the Rfam family "Bacterial large subunit ribosomal RNA". The record is from RNAcentral. Lineage: Bacteria; Pseudomonadati; Pseudomonadota; Gammaproteobacteria; Enterobacterales; Enterobacteriaceae.